CAUUCAUGAGAGCGAGGAAGCGAAACUCAGAGAGCCAGAGGAGCUGCAGAGCCGGUACCGUCCGGGCUCGGUUCUCAUGAGAACCCAACAUGGCCGCCCACAAACUGUCCCAUGAGCCUCUCUGACAAAAUGACUUAAAGGUGGCGGACCCUGCCACCUUUCUAACAGUGUUCUGGGACCUGGUUCUCCUCUGAGAACAGCUUCACUCAUGGAAGAACUUCCUCGCUUCCUUUCCUCUCCUCAUGACUCAUCGGUUCUGAGGAAGUGGGUCGAGGUUUGAAGCAUCACAACUCCUGAGACGUGACCCGUUUUAAAGUCCAGAAGAGCCGCACGAUUCAAAUGUUUUAUCCCCAUUCAAGCUAGCUGGGCGCUAAACAGGAAGUUAGCGGGCGGAGGCGUGUGCACACCUGUGUGUUCACCUUCAUGUGGCAGCAGUCGUUAUUCAAGAGAUGAGAUUUAUUUAUUUAUUAACAUUUAUUUCUGAUUCUUGGUUCGUUUUCUUUUCAGUGAUUCUGUAUUUAUUUCUUGUCGCUGCCUCCUGAACCUCGUACGUAACAGAAGUCCGCAGCACUAAGUGACUGAUAUCUGCGGUUCUGUUGGGUUGUUACGGUUCUGAAGAACGGGCCGGCUGAGAUUACAUGAGACCGAUCGUCCACCUGCCCUUUGAGCAAAUUGUCUGUCUGGCAGCUUCCCUCAUCUCUCUCUCUCUCUCUCACCUCCACUUCCUCUGACGGUUUGUGUGUCCGUGUGUGUUUCCCGGAAACAUUGGAGACGAGAGUGCCCCCCUGCAAAUAAACGGUCAUCGCCAUGACAACCACGCUACAAGCUGGAACGGGAUGAUGUCGAUCAUGGCAACGGUGGCGAGCGGCCAGACCGACAGCCCGGCUCCACCCCAGGGGCGAGCCGACGUGUGGACUCAGGGGUUUGAUACCAGAGAGUGAGUACCGGUUUGUGUUUCUGUCCACUGACAGCAACUCAGGCAGCACCGUGUCAGCCAUUUUCCUCUCCACAACAAGCCUUCACACAGGAGCAACAGAAGACCUUUGUUGGGAUCAAAUCUGUGUAACUAUCUGUGAUUUAGGGACGAGAUCCAGAACCACCUCUCCACCCUCCAGAAACACCCUGUUCAUGACAAAGUGAGGCGGACUGUACCUUUAAAGGAACAGUCUGACAUUCUGGGAAACGCUCAGUUCAGACGUCGAUAAGAUCGGACUGCUCUCAUGUCUGUGAGGUGAUUAUGGAAAGUCAGGAAAUAAGAGUGUCAUCAGGGUCACAACCUCAAACAUCCAGAAACACUGAGGAGCUCAAACACGUCCAGCUUUCUGUUGUUGUUGUUAAAUAGAUAAACAGAAAAUAUACCAUAAGUCAUCUGACAAGAGAGUGAACAUAUAAAUAUACUGAUGAGAACUGAAACUCCAAACCUGUGAUGUCAUCAGGCUGCAGAGUCUCAGAACGCUCCGAAUCUUUCAUCACGUUUUAAUCUGCAUGUGGAUCAGAUAUUUAUAAUUUAACUCAAUGGUGAAAAGUUUCCCUCAGAACGGAUCCUCGGAAACGUUUUACUGAAAUCUGGGAACGAUGUUUGGAAAUAUUACGCCUGGAAACACGACCUGUUUGGCAGAAGGGAACAAUGAACGACGAGCAAAACAAAUAUGCAAUCAGCAAAAUGCAGCCAGAAUGAAACAGAUUAAUCAAACUGAUCCUGAGACGAAGAUCAACACGACCGUCGGUGACGUCGGCUGUCGAUGUUUUAAUGAACCUGCAGGUCGACGUCGAUGAUGUUCGCUCACUUCCUUGUUCUGUUUCCUCCGAGAGGAGAGAUACAAACACUCUGAUUCUCUUUGAUACAGUCAGCCCUGAAAUGUAUGAAAACUGUUGGGAAAAGAUGUUUGUACCAAAGCAGUGGAGUCAGCCAGAGGUAAACUGCCAGCCUGGACUCAUUCAUGUAGAAGUUAUUCAAGUCAUUUUACUGGUGUAUGUUUAAACUUCUUUAUCUUCCUCUUCAGCUCAUGUCCACAGACCUUCAGCCGGAGUGUCGGAGCUCGUCACAGGUUCGUCUCCGAGCAUCAUCCGUAAACUGUCCACGCUCCAGUUUGUAUUUUCAGGAAACUGACACGACAACUCUUCCUCUUUUCAACUCACAGGCUGACAUUUGCAGGAGAAGUCAGAUGUUUUUGAUGUUUCAGCUGAUGGGAUUUUUUUUCCUCUCUGGCUGUUUGUACGUGAGUGAAAAGGAUCUCUUCACAUUCACACUGUGUCCUUAUAAAACCUCCGUCUUCAGUGUUGGCUCCAACACAAAGUUUUUAAUCAAACCAAACGCAGCUCAGCUGAAGGUGUUCCAGUUGGGAGCGCUCCAAAACCUCACUGGUUUGUGCAGGACGGGCGGAGACAGAGCAUUCAUUGUGCUGACCGGACAGACGCAUCGAUUUAACACGUGCUAACAGACAAAAGGAUGGAGAUGCAGCUCUACCUGACCGUCACCUGAGACACGAGGAGGCAGGAGACACGAGGAGG
Molecule: long non-coding RNA, 2511 nt
Organism: Acanthopagrus latus (yellowfin seabream)
Lineage: Eukaryota; Metazoa; Chordata; Actinopteri; Spariformes; Sparidae
Exons: 3
Source: RefSeq, a predicted model, not a curated record